AUACGUAGGUCCCGAGCGUUAUCCGGAUUUAUUGGGCGUAAAGCGAGCGCAGGCGGUUUAAUAAGUCUGAAGUUAAAGGCAGUGGCUUAACCAUUGUUCGCUUUGGAAACUGUUAAACUUGAGUGCAGAAGGGGAGAGUGGAAUUCCAUGUGUAGCGGUGAAAUGCGUAGAUAUAUGGAGGAACACCGGUGGCGAAAGCGGCUCUCUGGUCUGUAACUGACGCUGAGGCUCGAAAGUGUGGGGAGC
Molecule: ribosomal RNA, 246 nt
Filed under: uncultured bacterium
Lineage: Bacteria
Description: partial 16S ribosomal RNA
Rfam family: Bacterial small subunit ribosomal RNA
Source: RNAcentral